CAGCAGCCGCGGUAAUACGUAGGUGGCAAGCGUUGUCCGGAAUUAUUGGGCGUAAAGGGCUCGCAGGCGGUUUCUUAAGUCUGAUGUGAAAGCCCUCGGCUCAACCGGGGAGGGUCAUUGGAAACUGGGAAACUUGAGUGCAGAAGAGGAGAGUGGAAUUCCACGUGUAGCGGUGAAAUGCGUAGAGAUGUGGAGGAACACCAGUGGCGAAGGCGACUCUCUGGUCUGUAACUGACGCUGAGGAGCGAAAGCGUGGGGAGCGAACAGGAUUAGAUACCCGCGUAGUCCCUGUCUCUUAUAC
This 301-nucleotide ribosomal RNA is filed under the name uncultured bacterium. RNAcentral describes it as "partial 16S ribosomal RNA". It matches the Rfam family "Bacterial small subunit ribosomal RNA", at positions 509 to 807 of the family's 1533-position model. The record is from RNAcentral.